CAUUUAGAGGUUAUAGCCUUAUGUAAAGAUCCAGAGGUGACGGGUUUGCCACCACCUUCCUUUUGAGGUGCUAAAAUCUUCCAAAAGAGAGAAUGAUUGAUGUGACCACCGCCAUUGAAUUUAAUAGCAGCUUGAAGGGCAACCUCUCCCUCCAAAUCGAGGUUGGGAUCGGCCAGCUUCUCCUGAGCGGCAUUCAAGUUGUUAACAUAUGUUUGGUGAUGCUUGUCAUGAUGUAACUUCAUAAUCGUUUCCGACAAAGCAGGUUCAAGUGCCUAAAGCUAUAGUUAGUAAUCAUCAUUAACAAAUUAACUAGACAGUGGGAAACAUCCAAAACUUAUGAUUGCUUCAGAACCCAUCAACAUGAGCAAUUGCUUUUACAACUAUUUAUUGCAUACAUUGUAAGCAUAAGGUAAAGGGGGAAGAGUAGCCUUAGUAUGAACUCCCCUGGCAAUUGAGACGUUCCUAAUAGCGGCUACAGAGUUCUUAGACAAAAAGCGAAGCAUCGUUAAAAUGAGAUCAAAAGUAAAAAAGUAAUAGCAACCAAAGUGACCAACGAACAAAGUAAACCGAAAUGUUUUCUUUGUUAAAUACCUUAACUUAUAACUAAAUUGUACGGUUUGAUUGAACAAAUCGUAUAUGGUAGAGGGAAAGUAUGGAGUAGGGUGAAAGGAGCCUAUAUAAAUUCUCGAAAUUACGUCUGGCCUAUGAAAUGUCUGGAGAAAGUCAUUUCCGAAAUAUUACACCAAAAAUGUGGUAAACAACAAAUUGUGCAACUUGUUAAUGAACCAUUAAGAACUAGUUUUAUAGAGUAGAAUGUGAAGUUCAACGUAUCUUCAUUUCACCAACUUCUCAAAAUUCUCUGCAUUCAUUUAGCAAUCUUCAUUACUCUAGGUUACUAGAUUAUAGCAAUGUAAUAAUAUUUACUACGACAUUAUUAUCAAGCAAAAAAUUUUGGAAGGUUUUGUUAAGUGCAAGCAAUUAAUGGUACUUGAACUUAUAGAAAUGACAACUCAACAAAUGUUACUGAAGUUUAAAAGGGCAACUUCUUUACAUUGAAUUGUUAGAAAUGAUUUUACAAUACCGAAUCAAGAAUUCGGCGAGUGCAACUAGUAGUGUGAUUAGUACAUUGUAAAUAUUUUAUUUUUUCAAAUUGACUUCUGAUGCGAUUGAGUAUUGAUGCAAUUGAAAAAUCCGUCCUGCAACAAAUUACCCUUAUAAGCACACAAUGAAAAAAGAAACAGCGGCUCUACUAGUUAAAGGGUAUCGAAAUCAGAGUUGAAGGAAUUGCCUUUGCAAAAUAGAUAAGUAGUGCAGCGAAGCGGUAAUAACGAGGAAGUAACUCGGCAAAUAUUUGU
Schizosaccharomyces pombe (fission yeast) is the source of this 1355-nucleotide non-coding RNA. Lineage: Eukaryota; Fungi; Ascomycota; Schizosaccharomycetes; Schizosaccharomycetales; Schizosaccharomycetaceae. The record is from the annotation of a GenBank genome assembly.